Molecule: long non-coding RNA, 1366 nt
Filed under: Homo sapiens (human)
Lineage: Eukaryota; Metazoa; Chordata; Mammalia; Primates; Hominidae
Description: HSALNT0151191
Source: RNAcentral
AUGAAUUUGGAUCCUGUCCUACACUUGCUGUGUGAUUUUGGGUCCUCGUGAAGUCUUAGAAAUCAAAACACAUUUCAUCUCUUCCAGGAAGACAUUCCUUAAGAGAGCUGACAAGACAAUGUUCAAAAGUCAUCCCCUGUCCUAUCACUUACAAGAAAAAUUUUGCUGACGUAGGAUAAUGCAUCAAGAUUGUCUCAGAAUACUGCAAAUCGGCUAUAUAUUCCUAAUUCCACCUGGCAUUUCCUCGCCCACACAAUCAUAGGAAAAGCAGAGAACAGGGAUCCAGCCCAGCAAAGAAGAAUUAAAUUGCACGUGGAUCCAUGAGGCUAAAGAGGGUAAAAAUGAUCCAGACGGCACCAGCCAUGUGAUACCAUUUCUAAAAACAGCAGUAUGUUCUCGCAGUGAUUGACUGAUUACUUAAACUGCAGUGUCUGAGUCUUCCAGCAGAUACAUGAAGCUUACUGGGGCUGAUUUCUGUGCAAAGCCCUCUUCAGCACCCAUGGAAAUGAGAGGCAGACAGAGACUCCUAGGUGUUGCCAUCACAAGAAAGGUGCCACUUCCCCAGGAUUUCAGAUCUCUCAACCAAAAUGAAGAGGAAAUUGUGGCAGAGAUGAAGUAUUGUGAAAGAUUGUGAGGACAACAUUUCUUGAUUACCUCUCAGUCCAACAAUGCACACACUAGACCUUGAGAUGGAUUAAAUGAUACCCCUUUCACAGAAUUGGAGAGAAUGUGCUUUUCUUGUGAGCCCUUAUACUGCUCUUGUAUAGAUUCUGAGACAAGUGGCUCUGGUUGCUUCUGUUCCCAGAGGUGGCCUCUUCUGUACCACGUGACCACCUCAGAUGACUGGAUGGAAGGUAGGUGUCCUGGCAUGAAGACUAAAUGGCAUUGCAGAUGACUAAUUGGAAGAACUGGACCAUAGUAUUUUCCCUCUUGGGGAAUCAGCAAGUGAGUCAUGGAGGCAGUGUGGGCAGUAGCUGGUAUGAAAGCUGCAGGCAAAUAUUAGGGAGUAGCAGAGGCAAGAGACAGCUGCACUAAGCAGGGGAGUCCCAAGGAGAUUCCCUGAUGUCUCCUGCCGAGAUGAUAAAGAAGGGACAGUCACCAGGGCUGCCUCAGAUCUUGAGUGAGCUUUCAGAUACCAGCUCUUCUCAUCACAGGGAGGCCAAGCUCUCCUGCAAUUCCUAUUUGAGUUGGUCAUCUUUCACUUUCUUCUGUCAGAUUUCUUUCUCCCUUCUUUUAGUUAUAGCAUCUCUAAUAUUCUUCCAGGGAAACAAUACUUCCCCACGUUCAGUCCAUUUGGGUUGGGUAGAGUGGACCCCAACUUUCAUUUCCAAGGGUCAGUAUGUGACCCAGGCCUGGAUAAUCAGAA